UUUAUAACGUCUAUCUGCUUGUCUUCAUUUGCAUGAAAAAAAAUCAUAUAAACAAUGUAUGCGGAUAGUCAACUCAAACAAAAUAGUAGUAAUUAAAUAGCAAUAAUAAAGAAGGAGCCUACAGCACCCCGGAUUCCCAUGUUGUCUCCAACCAUAGUACUAACGAGGCCCUCAGACGCUUAACUGCAGUGAUCGGACGGGAACUGGUGUUUUCGCCUAGGUAUGGCCGUAGACAGCUGUUAAGUUUUAAUAAAGUAUAUAAACGAUAGUUAUCACUCAUUAGGAAUUCGAAUGUAUGUUGGCUCCACUACGAAUAAGAUAUGAAUGUUAGCAAUAUAACCUGAAA
This is a non-coding RNA of Schizosaccharomyces pombe (fission yeast), 346 nucleotides long. NCBI's taxonomy places the organism in Eukaryota, Fungi, Ascomycota, Schizosaccharomycetes, Schizosaccharomycetales, Schizosaccharomycetaceae. The record is from the annotation of a GenBank genome assembly.